Molecule: long non-coding RNA, 182 nt
Organism: Vidua macroura (Pin-tailed whydah)
Lineage: Eukaryota; Metazoa; Chordata; Aves; Passeriformes; Viduidae
Exons: 3
Source: RefSeq, a predicted model, not a curated record
GCCGCUGGAGGUGCCCGAGCCGUCUCCCCCUUGCCCGCAGGGCCGGAGUUGCCCACCGCCGGGAGCUGACAGGUCCGUGCUGGAGAGCGGGAGAAGGGUCCCUGCUGGCUGCCGUGUCCUGGGUGGGCACAGAGCUCUGACCUUGGCCAGAUGGGCUGGUUUCCGGGUGUUUUGAUCCUGAC